Molecule: ribosomal RNA, 468 nt
Filed under: uncultured bacterium
Lineage: Bacteria
Description: partial 16S ribosomal RNA
Rfam family: Bacterial small subunit ribosomal RNA
Source: RNAcentral
GACGAACGCUGGCGGCGUGCUUAACACAUGCAAGUCGAACGGAAAGGCCCUGCUUUUGUGGGGUGCUCGAGUGGCGAACGGGUGAGUAACACGUGAGUAACCUGCCCUUGACUUUGGGAUAACUUCAGGAAACUGGGGCUAAUACCGGAUAGGAGCUCCUGCUGCAUGGUGGGGGUUGGAAAGUUUCGGCGGUUGGGGAUGGACUCGCGGCUUAUCAGCUUGUUGGUGUGGUAGUGGCUUACCAAGGCUUUGACGGGUAGCCGGCCUGAGAGGGUGACCGGCCACAUGGGGACUGAGAGACGGCGCAGACUCCUACGGGAGGCAGCAGUGGGGAAUAUUGCACAAUGGGCGGAAGCCUGAGGCAGCAACGCCGCGUGCGGGAUGACGGCCUUCGGGUUGUAAACCGCUUUCGCCGGUGACGAAGCGUGAGUGACGGUAAUGGGUAAAGAAGCACCGGCUAACUACGUG